GAUGAACGCUGGCGGCGUGCCUAAUACAUGCAAGUCGAGCGAACAGACGAGGAGCUUGCUCCUCUGACGUUAGUGGCGGACGGGUGAGUAACACGUGGAUAACCUACCUAUAAGACUGGAAUAACUUCGGGAAACCGGAGCUAAUACCGGAUAAUAUAUUGAACCGCAUGGUUCAAUAGUGAAAGACGGUUUUGCUGUCACUUAUAGAUGGAUCCGCGCCGCAUUAGCUAGUUGGUAAGGUAACGGCUUACCAAGGCAACGAUGCGUAGCCGACCUGAGAGGGUGAUCGGCCACACUGGAACUGAGACACGGUCCAGACUCCUACGGGAGGCAGCAGUAGGGAAUCUUCCGCAAUGGGCGAAAGCCUGACGGAGCAACGCCGCGUGAGUGAUGAAGGUCUUCGGAUCGUAAAACUCUGUUAUUAGGGAAGAACAAAUGUGUAAGUAACUAUGCACGUCUUGACGGUACCUAAUCAGAAAGCCACGGCUAACUACGUG
Molecule: ribosomal RNA, 497 nt
Filed under: uncultured bacterium
Lineage: Bacteria
Description: partial 16S ribosomal RNA
Rfam family: Bacterial small subunit ribosomal RNA
Source: RNAcentral